RNAcentral lists this ribosomal RNA (457 nucleotides) under uncultured bacterium. RNAcentral's name for it is "partial 16S ribosomal RNA". It matches the Rfam family "Bacterial small subunit ribosomal RNA", at positions 338 to 795 of the family's 1533-position model. The record is from RNAcentral.
CCUACGGGUGGCAGCAGUGGGGAAUAUUGCACAAUGGGGGAAACCCUGAUGCAGCGACGCCGCGUGAGUGAAGAAGUAUUUCGGUACGUAAAGCUCUAUCAGCAGGGAAGAAAAAAAGUCCUUUGGACUUUGGACGGUACCUGACCAAGAAGCCCCGGCUAACUACGGGCCAGCAGCCGCGGUAAUACGUAGGGGGCAAGCGUUAUCCGGAAUUACUGGGUGUAAAGGGAGCGUAGACGGCAGUGCAAGCUUUGAGUGAAAUGCCGGGGCCCAACCCCGGAACUGCUUCGGAAACUGGGCAGCUGGAGUGCAGGAGAGGUAAGCGGAAUUCCUAGUGUAGCGGUGAAAGGCGUAGAUAUUAGGAGGAACACCAGUGGCGAAGGCGGCUUACUGGACUGUAACUGACGUUGAGGCUCGAAAGCGUGGGGAGCAAACAGGAUUAGAUACCCGGGUAGUC